GGUUAUGGCUCAGUGGUAGAGCGCUAGCCUCGCACAUGCAAGUCCCUGGGUUCAACUCUCAGCACCA
RNAcentral lists this transfer RNA (67 nucleotides) under Marmota monax (woodchuck). RNAcentral describes it as "tRNA.Ala". The record is from RNAcentral. Lineage: Eukaryota; Metazoa; Chordata; Mammalia; Rodentia; Sciuridae.